Molecule: ribosomal RNA, 381 nt
Filed under: uncultured bacterium
Lineage: Bacteria
Description: bacterial SSU rRNA
Rfam family: Bacterial small subunit ribosomal RNA
Source: RNAcentral
GACGAACGCUGGCGGCGUGCUUAACACAUGCAAGUCGAGCGGUAAGGCCCUUUCGGGGGUACACGAGCGGCGAACGGGUGAGUAACACGUGGGUGACCUGCCCUCAGCUCUGGGAUAAGCCCGGGAAACUGGGUCUAAUACCGGAUAUGACUUCAUGACGCAUGUUGUGGAGUGGAAAGCCUUGUGCGGCUGAGGAUGGGCCCGCGGCCUAUCAGCUUGUUGGUGGGGUGANGGCCUACCAAGGCGACGACGGGUAGCCGGCCUGAGAGGGCGACCGGCCACACUGGGACUGAGACACGGCCCAGACUCCUACGGGAGGCAGCAGGUGGGGAAUCUUGCGCAAUGGGCGAAAGCCUGACGCAGCGACGCCGCGUGAGGGAU